RNAcentral lists this ribosomal RNA (689 nucleotides) under uncultured euryarchaeote. RNAcentral describes it as "bacterial SSU rRNA". It matches the Rfam family "Archaeal small subunit ribosomal RNA", at positions 6 to 712 of the family's 1478-position model. The record is from RNAcentral. Lineage: Archaea; Methanobacteriati; Methanobacteriota.
GUUUGAUCCUGCCGGAGGCGACCGCUUUUGGAGUUCGAUUAAGCCAUGCGAGUCGAGAGCUUUCGGAGCUCGGCAUACUGCUCAGUAAUACAUGGAUAACCUGCCCUAUUGUCUGGAAUAACCUCGGGAAACUGAGAACAAAGCCGGAUAACCCACAAUGCCUGGAACGGUUUGUGGGUGAAGAUAGGAUGGGUCUGCGGCGUAUCAGGUCGUAGGGGGUGUAAUGGACCUCCUAGCCAUCGACGCGUACGGGUGUUGGGAGACAUAGCCCGGAGAUGGAUUCUGAGACACGAAUCCAGACCCUACGGGGUGCAGCAGGCGCGAAAACUUCACACUGCAGGAAACUGUGAUGAGGGAACUCCAAGUGCUAUCACUAUGUGGUAGCUUUUCUUAACUAUUAAUCGGUUUUGGAAUAAGGGCUGGGAAAGACCGGUGCCAGCCGCCGCGGUAAUACCGGCAGCUCAAGUGGUCGUCGCUUUUAUUGGGCCUAAAACGUCCGUAGCCUGUUUGGUAAAUCUGUGGGUAAAUCAACCAGCUUAACUGGUUGAAUUCUGCAGAGACUGCCAGACUAGGGACCGGGAGAGGUGUGGGGUACUCUAGGGGUAGGGGUAAAAUCCUGUCAUCCUUAGAGGACCACCAGUUGCGAAGGCGCCACACUGGAACGGAUCCGACGGUCAGGGACGAAGCCU